This 798-nucleotide long non-coding RNA is filed under the name Pan paniscus (pygmy chimpanzee). Its description in RNAcentral is "lncRNA (ENSPPAG00000044507.1)". The record is from RNAcentral. Lineage: Eukaryota; Metazoa; Chordata; Mammalia; Primates; Hominidae.
AUAUGUGAAAAAGCAAAGAGGGCAGAAUAUAUAAUUCAUGGAGUAUAGAAUUAGUGUGCUAUGAGUUAUUCAAAUGGACAAAGAGGAACUGAGAAACUUGACAGAAUAAAAGAAUGGUUUAUGUUGAAAACAAAUUACAUCAAUACAGACUAGUUGGAACAAGUUUUCUUCAGCCAUAAAAUUAAUAUGUACUAUGUAUAUAUAUUUAUAUGGGUAAAUAAUAAUUUUAGGCUGCAUAUUGUCCAAACCAAGGAAAAUAAUACUCACUUAUACUUUUCACAUGGACUAUAAGUUGAAGGGAAAAUGAAUAUAUUUUAGAACAUCAAAAAAUGCAAGGAGAAUAGUAAAACCAUGUUACUUGGAGAGCAAUUGGGGCAUUGAAGUUGGUUAAUAUGGGAAAGAGAAAACCAACAUGAAAUGCAAACAUAUUCUUUAAUGUUUCUUCCAAAGGGCCAAAAUAUGAACAAGGUAUUUCCUUCAGUUCCUCUGCUCCACUGUGCUCAGAAUAAGGACAUGAUGGUCUAUCCAUAUUAAUCACAUUCUUAUCUUCUCUCCUCACUAAUGUAUCCUGAGUCAAGUGUCCAGCCCUGGCCCAUUCGAUCACCUCCAGGAAUGUGGAAUUUCAUGGCACAGACUUGGAUGUUGGAUUCUGCAUUCCUGGACAUGAUUGAGUGGACCAGGGUUGGACACUUGACUCAAGAUGGAUUAAUGAAGAGAGAAGAUAAGAAUGUGAUAAAUGUGGAGAAUCAUGAUCUCAUCAUCUCGGGGGAAGUGGAUCAGGAAAAUAAAAGGAAGUAA